RNAcentral lists this ribosomal RNA (929 nucleotides) under archaeon enrichment culture clone EA3.5. RNAcentral describes it as "bacterial SSU rRNA". It matches the Rfam family "Archaeal small subunit ribosomal RNA", at positions 1 to 922 of the family's 1478-position model. The record is from RNAcentral.
UUCCGGUUGAUCCUGCCGGAGACCACUGCUAUGGGGGCCCGACUAAGCCAUGCGAGUCAUGGGGGUGUCCCUUUGGGACACCACCGGCGGACGGCUCAGUAACACGUCGGUAACCUACCCUCGGGAGGGGGAUAACCCCGGGAAACUGGGGCUAAUCCCCCAUAGGCCUGAGGUACUGGAAGGUCCUCAGGCCGAAAGGGGCUCUGCCCGCCCGAGGAUGGGCCGGCGGCCGAUUAGGUAGUUGGUGGGGUAACGGCCCACCAAGCCGAAGAUCGGUACGGGCCAUGAGAGUGGGAGCCCGGAGAUGGACACUGAGACACGGGUCCAGGCCCUACGGGGCGCAGCAGGCGCGAAACCUCCGCAAUGCGGGCAACCGCGACGGGGGGACCCCCAGUGCCGUGGCACAGCCACGGCUUUUCCGGAGUGUAAAAAGCUCCGGGAAUAAGGGCUGGGCAAGGCCGGUGGCAGCCGCCGCGGUAAUACCGGCGGCCCGAGUGGUUGUCGCUAUUAUUGGGCCUAAAGCGUCCGUAGCCGGGCCCGUAAGUCCCUGGCGAAAUCCCACGGCUCAACCGUGGGGCUUGCUGGGGAUACUGCGGGCCUUGGGACCGGGAGAGGCCGGGGGUACCCCUGGGGUAGGGGUGAAAUCCUAUAAUCCCAGGGGGACCGCCAGUGGCGAAGGCGCCCGGCUGGAACGGGUCCGACGGUGAGGGACGAAGGCCAGGGGAGCAAACCGGAUUAGAUACCCGGGUAGUCCUGGCUGUAAAGGAUGCGGGCUAGGUGUCGGGCGAGCUUCGAGCUCGCCCGGUGCCGAAGGGAAGCCGUUAAGCCCGCCGCCUGGGGAGUACGGCCGCAAGGCUGAAACUUAAAGGAAUUGGCGGGGGAGCACUACAAGGGGUGGAGCGUGCGGUUUAAUUGGAUUCAACGCCGGG